This 249-nucleotide long non-coding RNA is filed under the name Astyanax mexicanus (Mexican tetra). RNAcentral describes it as "lncRNA (ENSAMXG00005011212.1)". Lineage: Eukaryota; Metazoa; Chordata; Actinopteri; Characiformes; Acestrorhamphidae. The record is from RNAcentral.
GUUCAGCUUGUCUGUUUUUUUUUAAACUGGCUCUGCAGUGCUGAGUGAUGUUUAUCUCUGCUUAGGCCCAGCGCUGCGACACAGACGCACAAAAGACUUCCCAGCAGCCUUUGAGGGAGCAACUGUGGGCUUGACAGAGAAUGCUCUGACGAACCCAGGCAGACAAAAAGCAAGACCCAGAGCCAGAAUUCUUUCUUUGGUGAACAUUCUCAAAAAGGUAGGUGUAUCCUUAUUAUCUAUGCAAACCAA